AGGGGCUUAGGAGAAAACUAGACCAAGGGCCUUCAAAGCCUUCAGCGGAGGUGAAAAUCCUCCAGCCCCUG
RNAcentral lists this transfer RNA (71 nucleotides) under Muraenolepis orangiensis (Patagonian moray cod). It matches the Rfam family "tRNA". Rfam says of the family: Transfer RNA (tRNA) molecules are approximately 80 nucleotides in length. Their secondary structure includes four short double-helical elements and three loops (D, anti-codon, and T loops). The record is from Rfam by way of RNAcentral. Lineage: Eukaryota; Metazoa; Chordata; Actinopteri; Gadiformes; Muraenolepididae.